Molecule: long non-coding RNA, 402 nt
Filed under: Physcomitrium patens
Lineage: Eukaryota; Viridiplantae; Streptophyta; Bryopsida; Funariales; Funariaceae
Description: long non-coding RNA (PPAT_LNC002169)
Source: RNAcentral
CUCAUAGAUUUACUAAUUCAACAUGAACUUAAAUUUCAACGUUUCUCUUAAACCAAACCGAACUACAGGCGCCCAAAAAAUCUAGGACCGUAUUCAACAUGAUUACUAUCCGCUAUGUUGUCCAUGGAGUGAAAUGCCGGUUGUUGCAACAAUUUGACCCUAGAGGCACUCACAAUAUUCUGUUCACUGAAUUUCACCGCUUCUCUCAAGUGCAAUCCAGGCAACUUGAAGGCGAUGAGUUUGCAUGAAGAUGGAGUCUGUUGCAAGAUUUUAGGAGUAAUUUAUUAAUUAAUUGGUACCGAUACAAAUCCAGACAGUGAAAUGCUUCUGUUACAAACCAAAAUGGCAGUUCCAGAAGUUACGGCAGUUUCCAGAUCAGCUAGCAGAGAGCCGCAGUUGCGA